UUCUGAAGUAAGCAACGUGGUAAACAAGUGUAACCCACCCAAAAUUGGCAGUAUCUGCUGUGCACAGGCAAAGACAAUGUGAGGGCUCCACUGUCUUUCAGAUUUCUCUCUCCAAGAAAGCAGCAGGUCACUUGUAUAGCAGUUUGGAUCUCAGGUUCUUCAAACCACACUAGAAACAGCACCAUGAAUGAUAGAAGCCAGGUGUUCUAAGGUGAACAGGGCCUCCCACUUACUGCCCUGUGUUUGUGGGUAAAAUCACUUACAUUCUCCAAGUCUCAGUUUCUUUAUCUAUAAGUGGAAAUAACCUCUUCCUCACAGGCUUGUUGUGAAAAUACGUGGAAUAAUGCACUUAAAGCUGUUAGCACAGAACCUGGCACAUAACAAAUACAUGCCCAAUAAGUGUGCUACUUUUAUUAUUAAAGUUUCAGUGAGGGGGAGCAUAGUGGAGAAGGAAAGAGAAAUUUCAAAACAACUGUGGUUUGAACCCCAGGUCUGCCACCAAAGAUGCAUAUCUGAGAAAGGCAAAGAGACAGAGGGAGAGAGAGAGUCCCCUACGGGUAUAGUGCCCUGCCCUCCUUGAUAUACUAAAUUCACCCAAUAUUUAGGAGACAGUAUUAUGAGAAGGGCCACAAUUCCUGGUUUAAAUCAUCAAGUACCCAGGUGACAGAUUACACAGAGUGCGAGAAAUGAUUUGUCCAAUAAUUCACAGUUAAGAGUGGCUAACAAGAGACUCAGGACCAGGACUUCUGGCCCAAAUCUGGGCUGUUUCAUAUUUGUAGAAUAGUUUCCUAAAUAUUUUACUCCAUCUAGGUAUGCAAACAACUCCAUUUGUUUUAAGACAAUUAUUGGCAAGAAGCCUGCAAAGAACCUUCAAAACAAAUGGAUACUGGGGAAAGGGGAGGUGUUUGGCAAGAAUUCGCUAAGAACCAGAAUCCAGCCCCAAGACCUCCAGUCUGGGAAAACUGUAGCAAGACCCCUAAAGCCAGGGCUCUUGCUGGCGGGGAAGGCAAAACUUGCCAGCCCUGCCCUGAAGCUUGGGAAGAAGCUGAGUUUGUGUUCCCCUCCCUCCAGUUUGGGCACUGAAUUUCUCAGAACAGCCGUUACCAUGACUGCAACCUCUCGCAGGGGUGAGGAAAUGGAAUGCACAGACAAAUAGUUAGAAGCUGGAAGUCAUCCUAAGCUAGAAUCUGUGCAUUUGCUCCCUUUGAACCUCUCAGAAACAGGGACACAUGAAAUUUGUUCUUUGUAUCCGAUGACAAGAACCUGAGAGAACAAUUGGAUAUUCACCCAUUGCCUGCAGCAUCAGUGAGGAAGAAUCACUUUUCAUAGCCAACCAGGUUACAGAGUAGAAGAAAUGAUGCAAGAAUUAGCAGACACAGAAGAUAAUGACUGAAACUCUGCCCUAGCACCAUGGCAGUCUGAAAGGAUCUCCACACUUUCUCAGGAAUAGUCAGCCCUCGGAUCUAGCAUGACGGUUACAAAUAGAGCAACAGCUCAAUGACCGAAUUAAACUAACUACUGGAAGAAAUAUAGACCCCCAUUCAGGCUUAUUCCAGUGUCAGUGUGGCAAAUGGCCUUGAUGAGCUAGGAUCUGAAAAGGAACCAAAAGAAGGAAGAAAAAAACCCCACAGACAAAAUAAAAGCAUAUUACCUUCUUACCCCCUGUUUUUAUUGAAGUUCAAAGCAAACAGGAAAAGACUUUUAAAAAGAAGCACAAAAAAAAAAAAAAAGGCAUUCAGUGGUGAGAAAUGACAGCCCUCAGCAUGGCAAGAAUGAGUAGACAGAUGCCUGGAACAGUCAGUGAGAAUUCUCAAUUUUGAGCACAGCAUCACACUGCAAACGGACUAAAUAUAUCACCACUCAUUACAGCAACGUUGUUUGAUGGUAAAGAAAAUUCUCUUUUAUUUUUGAAGUAAAAUUACUGGACACAAAAAUAUGUUACACUAAAGAGAACUUUUUAAUUUUUGAAAUUGAAAGCUCAGUUAUACAAAUCACCAGAAACUGACGGAGUCUCACUCUGUCGCCCAGCCUGGAGUGCA
RNAcentral lists this long non-coding RNA (2039 nucleotides) under Homo sapiens (human). RNAcentral describes it as "HSALNT0359151". Lineage: Eukaryota; Metazoa; Chordata; Mammalia; Primates; Hominidae. The record is from RNAcentral.